This is a long non-coding RNA of Lagopus leucura (white-tailed ptarmigan), 1440 nucleotides long. RefSeq lists it as uncharacterized. The transcript is spliced from 5 exons. The record is from RefSeq and is a predicted model, not a curated record. Lineage: Eukaryota; Metazoa; Chordata; Aves; Galliformes; Phasianidae.
AGAUCCCUCCUCUGGAGCUUUGCAGCAAGCCCAGGUCACAGGUCUUCUCCAAAGUAAAGUUUUCUGCAAGAGCCAUCCUUUCUCCAUCUUCUCACCCCAAGCACAGAGAUGAAGAUCUUUCUUCUCUUACUUUUAAGAAAGGACUUCGCAUUAAAAAACAGGAUGAAGAAAUGGACUUGCUCAAAAGGGAAACAGUAAAAAUUACACACAGCGAAGUGCUCUAGGUGCAUGAACUAAUCAAACAAGAGAAAACAGGCAUUAAAGAGCAGGAACAUCACACCUAGAGCAAGCCUUGAAUAGAUUGAAAGACCCUGAUCUCCUCUUACUGCCAGGAUUAUCGCUCAGUAGUGAUUGCUUCUUAAAGAGGCGCUGCCUUUUGUGUGCUGUCUCGUGUAUGAGAUCUUGACAAGCAGGAAAGGAAACUUAGGAUCUCACAGUAUGAUGUGGAAGAAAAGAAAUGUGAUUGUUUUUUCUAUUUAAAAAAAAAAGCAACGAAAGCACUGUUAAGUCAGAUGGGCACAUGCUUUGUGUAGCUCCCAAGGCCUAUCUGAAGAGUACCGUAUAAAAACAAAGCUUGGUGAAGAGGAAGCAGCUGCAGGAGCGAUAUAGAGCCCUUUCUUAUAAACAAAGAGCACCACCAAAUCUGUUGGAGCAUGAAUAUUAGAUUUGCUGACUUUUGCUGACAUCACUGGGGGAGAUAAACAUAUUACAAGGAGAGGAACAGCUUGUUGCUUGAGAGGUUGCCAGAUGAGAUAAGCGAAUGGCGAAAUGGCAAAUGAAGACAGGGUGCCCAUCCUGACUGGCUGAGCAUAGCUGAGAGUUGCAACUCGGUGAAGUGCUGUAGUGAACGUAACUGCUCUGGAACAAGUGGAUAAAAAUGAACUAUGAAGCUCUUUUUUCCUAAUAACGAAGAGCUAACAGCUGCUUCCAUCUGGGAACUGUGUGAAAGUGCCUUACAGCUGUACAAUAAUAAACAGCUAAAAACUCCGCAGAGCCUACUGCUCCAUUUACAUUCUUUCCCAAUCUUUUGCCUCAUUAAACUGUAAUCUUCCUCCUAAUUAUAUUUCAUCAAUCUAUUGUUUAUGGAACUCUAGAUCAAAUGGCAAACAUAUUGAAACAAAAAUAAACUUAUAAUUAGUUGUCUUCUCCUCACCCCUCCUCCCUGUGUAUUAGCAAGUGCAUCAUUAUCAGGCCCCAGGGGUUUGGUGAGGCAAUCAGUUUACAUGGUGCACUUUUGGCAGCAAAGAAUAAAAAAAACAUUUGUAGCUGCAUAAUAUGAUUUACCAGCUCUAGGGCUCCAGGGUCUACACUUCCAUAAAUAUAUGUGACAAAUUAUCAAUAAAUCAUUCUCUGGUCUACCAUAUUGCAUAAUGUUUAUUGAAACCCAGUUCUAAUAAAUAUAAAAGUCACCUUUUUUAUCCAAAGCAUAAGAAACAAAGA